UUGAAGAAAAUAGCAUCAACUGAUAGGGCUAUGGAAAAAAUGGCAAACAAGAAAAUAGAAUAUAUUGGCCGCUACCCAUCAGCCGCUACUGCUACAGGAAACAAGAGCAAGCACUUGUGGGAGUUUGCCGAAUUCAUGAAGCAUGCCAUGCAGAUGAACUAGAUUGAAAAAAAAAACAGACUAGAUUUUAACUGAAAAAAGGAAAUGGAAUCCCUUUAGAUUCAAUAUAUGUACAUUUUCGUAGACUGAAUGGAUUCACUUAGUUCAAUUUGAUAUCAUCUAAAGCAGAAAGUUUCAGUUGUACAUAAUAUGGACACAAGAAACAGUUUUCACUGAAAAAACAGGAAAGUUUUUCGCAAUUUCGUUAGCUUUCCUAUAGAGCAAAUUCUUUGAUAUGGAUUGAUUUUAAUGUUUUUUAGACUACUACUAAGGGAUUUCUUUGCUCAUCAGAAUGAAUACACAUCCGAGUGAUAAUAAUAAGUAUUGUGACUUCAGGAAGGAAAUAAUUGUGUCAAUUAUUUAUCUAUAUGAUAUUUUAUUGCCUCGUUAACAGUGUUUAUUGUUGCUUUGUUGAAAUGGCACGGUCAUCCAAUCUUUUUCUCAUUUAUAAAAUCUGUACAUGAAUUUGUUGUGUAACAUAUGGCCAUGUAACGUUAAUGUAUUGUCCCAGUUGUAACCGUUAUAUGUGAUCAGAAUGAUAAAACCGGUUUCAUAAGAAAAAAAGACCUCCAAGGGGCUUUUGCCUGUGUUAUUGUUAAAGAUAGUGC
This is a long non-coding RNA of Mercenaria mercenaria, 767 nucleotides long. RefSeq lists it as uncharacterized. The record is from RefSeq and is a predicted model, not a curated record. The transcript has 2 exons. NCBI's taxonomy places the organism in Eukaryota, Metazoa, Mollusca, Bivalvia, Venerida, Veneridae.